Molecule: ribosomal RNA, 220 nt
Filed under: uncultured bacterium
Lineage: Bacteria
Description: partial 16S ribosomal RNA
Rfam family: Bacterial small subunit ribosomal RNA
Source: RNAcentral
ACGCUCGACACCUACGGUAGGCAGCAGUGAGGAAUAUUGGUCAAUGGGCGCAGGCCUGAACCAGCCAAGUAGCGUGAAGGAUGACUGCCCUAUGGGUUGUAAACUUCUUUUAUAUGGGAAUAAAGUUUUCCACGUGUGGAAUUUUGUAUGUACCAUAUGAAUAAGGAUCGGCUAACUCCGUGCCAGCAGCCGGCGGUAAUCUGAGGCGGGCUGGCAAGGC